GAUCCUGGCUCAGGAUGAACGCUAGCUACAGGCUUAACACAUGCAAGUCGGGGGGGCAGCAUGGUCUUAGCUUGCUAAGACCGAUGGCGACCGGCGCACGGGUGAGUAACGCGUAUCCAACCUGCCUUACACUCUUGGACAGCCUUCUGAAAGGGAGAUUAAUACAAGAUGUUAUCAUGAGUAAGCAUUUUCGCAUGAUUAAAGGUUUACCGGUGUAAGAUGGGGAUGCGUUCCA
RNAcentral lists this ribosomal RNA (235 nucleotides) under uncultured bacterium. RNAcentral describes it as "partial 16S ribosomal RNA". It matches the Rfam family "Bacterial small subunit ribosomal RNA", at positions 15 to 240 of the family's 1533-position model. The record is from RNAcentral.